CAUUAUUGAAAUAAACCUGAUGGGUUGUUGCUGGUUCCUUAAGGGACAUGUGCACACUUGUCAUCUUUAUAUUUCCACCUGUGCACCUUUUGUAGACCUGGAUAUUUUUUCUGAAUGCUAGCAUUCGGGUUUUGAGNAUUGACUUCACUGUCUCUUCUUACAUUUCCAGGCCUAUGUUUCUUCAUAUACCCAAUGUAUGUUACAGAAUGUAGUAAAUGGGCCUUUGUUGCCUCUAAAAUAUAUACAACUUUCAGCAACGGAUCUCUUGGCUCUCGCAUCGAUGAAGAACGCAGCGAAAUGCGAUAAGUAAUGUGAAUUGCAGAAUUCAGUGAAUCAUCGAAUCUUUGAACGCACCUUGCGCUCCUUGGUAUUCCGAGGAGCAUGCCUGUUUGAGUGUCAUUAAUAAUUAUCAAUCUCUUCAGCUUUUGCUUGUUGAGUAUUGGAUGUGGGGGUUAUUUUUUGCUGGCCCUCUUUUGAAGGUCAGCUCCCCUAAAAUGCAUUAGCGGAACAAUUUGUUAAUCUGUUCAUUGGUGUGAUAACUAUCUACGCUAUUGACGUGAGGCAAAGUUUCAGCUUCUAACAGUCCAUUGACUUGGACAGCUUUUCAUUAAUGUGACCUCAAAUCAGGUAGGAUUACCCGCUGAACUUAAGCAUAUCAAUAAGCGGAGGAAAAGAAACUAACAAGGAUUCCCCUAGUAACUGCGAGUGAAGCGGGAAAAGCUCAAAUUUAAAAUCUGUCAGUCUUUGACUGUCCGAGUUGUAAUCUAGAGAAGCAUUAUCCGCGCUGGACCGUGUACAAGUCUCCUGGAAUGGAGCGUCAUAGAGGGUGAGAAUCCCGUCUUUGACACGGACUACCAGGGCUUUGUGAUGUGCUCUCAAAGAGUCGAGUUGUUUGGGAAUGCAGCUCAAAAUGGGUGGUAAAUUCCAUCUAAAGCUAAAUAUUGGCGAGAGACCGAUAGCGAACAAGUACCGUGAGGGAAAGAUGAAAAGAACUUUGGAAAGAGAGUUAAACAGUACGUGAAAUUGCUGAAAGGGAAACGCUUGAAGUCAGUCGCGUUAUCCAGGGAUCAACCUUGCUUUUGCUUGGUGUACUUUCUGGUUGACGGGUCAGCAUCAAUUUUGACCAUUGGAAAAAGACCAGGGGAAUGUGGCAUCUUCGGAUGUGUUAUAGCCCUUUGUUGCAUACAAUGGUUGAGAUUGAGGAACUCAGCACGCCGCAAGGCCGGGU
RNAcentral lists this ribosomal RNA (1228 nucleotides) under Cortinarius sp. TH9115. RNAcentral describes it as "eukaryotic LSU rRNA". The stretch from base 614 to 1228 matches the Rfam family "Eukaryotic large subunit ribosomal RNA", at positions 1 to 616 of the family's 3401-position model. The record is from RNAcentral. Lineage: Eukaryota; Fungi; Basidiomycota; Agaricomycetes; Agaricales; Cortinariaceae.